Long non-coding RNA from Heterocephalus glaber (naked mole-rat), 388 nucleotides. The record is from Ensembl. Lineage: Eukaryota; Metazoa; Chordata; Mammalia; Rodentia; Bathyergidae.
UCUUUUUGUUCAGUGCUCAGCCAUUUUAGACACAGAGUCUGCUGAGCUGGUGUAUACACCUUAAAUAAAUCAUCCUGACUCCCAGUUGGUCUUCCUGUCUCUUGGAAUUCUGCAACAAUGUGGUGUCAGGAUUAAACGAGAUUCAAGAUCUACAGUCUACAGCCUGUCCCCAGCACGGAGCUAGUGUAAUGAUGCUUAUUACAGCCUCGCGCAGCAGCUCGGUACCAGCGCUCCAUCCCCGCCGCCCGCAGCGCCGCGACGCCUUCUUCUCACCCAUCUCGGGGACCCCAGUCAUAACUGACAUUUAAAGGAAAUAAACAUGGACUUUAAAAAUCACUACACCCGGUCGCAGUGAAAAACAGAACUGGCUGGCGGCUGUCGGGUCUCG